GACGGAGGGUGCUAGCGUUGUUCGGAAUCACUGGGCGUAAAGGGCGCGUAGGCGGCCUCAGGUGUCGGAUGUGAAAGCCCGGGGCUCAACCCCGGAGGUGCAUCCGAAACUCUGGGGCUGGAGGUCGGAAGAGGAGGGUGGAAUACCCAGUGUAGAGGUGAAAUUCGUAGAUAUUGGGAAGAACACCGGUGGCGAAGGCGGCUCACUGGCUCAGUUACUGACGCUCAGGCGCAAUAGCGUGGGGAUCAAACAGG
This 254-nucleotide ribosomal RNA is filed under the name uncultured bacterium. RNAcentral describes it as "partial 16S ribosomal RNA". It matches the Rfam family "Bacterial small subunit ribosomal RNA", at positions 524 to 776 of the family's 1533-position model. The record is from RNAcentral.